AUUGAACGCUGGCGGCAGGCUUAACACAUGCAAGUCGAGCGGGGUGAUGGUGCUUGCACUAUCACUUAGCGGCGGACGGGUGAGUAAUGCUUAGGAAUCUGCCUAUUAGUGGGGGACAACAUCUCGAAAGGGAUGCUAAUACCGCAUACGUCCUACGGGAGAAAGCAGGGGAUCACUUGUGACCUUGCGCUAAUAGAUGAGCCUAAGUCGGAUUAGCUAGUUGGUGGGGUAAAGGCCUACCAAGGCGACGAUCUGUAGCGGGGCUGAGAGGAGGAUCCGCCACACUGGGACUGGGACACGGCCCAGGAUCCUACGGGAGGUAGCAGUGGGGAAUAUUGGAAAAUGGGGGGAACCCUGAUACAGCCAUGCCGCGUGUGUGAAGAAGGCCUUAUGGUUGUAAAGCACUUUAAGCGAGGAGGAGGCUCUUUUGGUUAAUACCCAAGAUGAGUGGACGUUACUCGCAGAAUAAGCACCGGCUAACUCUGUGCCAGCAGCCGCCGUAA
Molecule: ribosomal RNA, 503 nt
Filed under: uncultured bacterium
Lineage: Bacteria
Description: partial 16S ribosomal RNA
Rfam family: Bacterial small subunit ribosomal RNA
Source: RNAcentral